GCUCUUGUGCAAGCACUGCCCCAAUGAUGUGUUGUAGCAGCACGUCACACAGCCAUCUUGGUCAUCUACUCCACCAUGCAUCGCAUUGCGGAUGUGACCGAGUUGUUUCAAUGCAAGCUGUGAGUGAGGAAUAUCAUUUCUUUGGAAAAUAGGCAUGUUGAUAGACCACAUUAACGUCAAAAAUAACUUGUGGAACUCAACUGAGUUAAUUUUUUGAAUGGUCCAAAUGAUAAAUCACAAUCAGGGGGCUCAAGUCUAAGCGACGAAAUUGCCUAGAAAAACGAGGCCACAUCGAGCAUGCACAAAUAGGAUCAACAUCAAAACUAUGUCAUUUCAGAGCGCAUGCAUCGUAACGGGGGACAUUUCCAGAAGAAGAGCUUCACUUUUGGUGAAACAUCAAGCUUCCACAUCCAUUACCCUAUCACCUCAAGUUGAAGCUCCAUCACCUUCACCAAGUUUCCUUGCAAUCAAAUAACCCGAUUUCACUGUGUACGAGGCCACAAACUUGAAUACACAUCCCCCGAUAGGCAAAUCGGGAUUGAUAGUAUUCUUUUGGACAUCGUCUUGACAGAAUGUCUGCUCUAGUUGUUCCACCUUCCAUUUUUUAGCGUCAUCAUCGAUGAAAUCAGCCACUCGACGAUUUUCGAUCUCCCAAUUGAGAAUCGUGGAUGGUUUACAAUGAUAAGUGCAUUACACAUUCCUGAAUCAAUUAAACACUUAUCCCUUCUAGGUCUCAAACUGAAUAACUAAACAUGCAAAUUAUUGAUAAGAUAAUUCACAAGUAACAAGCAUCAGGAAUUGUAAAUCAUAAAUUGGAAGACAAUAUGACAUUAAUAAAUCAAUCACAUAAAUUCUAUCAACUAUCAAAUACUAGAAUCGAAAAAAGAACUAGCCAUACAUAAUUAAAUAACAUGUACAAGACCGAGAUUUUCAAGAAGUCUCUUUCCAACGGCUCUAUUCGAAACUCCUAUAUAUAUUAUAAGAUCGUAACCUAUGAAAAAACCCAGAAUUGUUGCGCAAUUGAAUUCUCAAGCUCUCAAGCUAACCCUUAAGCAAACAACAAUAUUCUAAAGAAGAAUUAGAAUAGAAUCAUAAAAUUCAAAGGCCAUACUUGUGAAUCCAUAUUAAGUUUCUAGCUAGACAUUUCUCAUUGUAAUAUCAUCAAACAUAGAUCUUGAACACACUUAUAUACCUUAUGUUCUUCAUUGUAACAAUGCGUUCUCAUAUAUAGUUGGAACCUACCUUCAAAAUCCCGUCACCCCUUGUAAAAUUUAGGUGUUAGUGUUAGAUGGAAAUCAGUAAAGUAAGUUACAAGUUCGUAGUCUGAAAUCUAAAGAUAGUCAGAUGCAACUGAGGAAAUUGCUUUAACGGUCACGACCGCAUAACUAGUGGUUUAGUUUAACGUAACUAACUGAUCAACUAACUUGCAGCUAUAAAUAAAAAAUCAUAACGUUGAUUGGACCAUGUCGUGGAUGUAGGAGCAGUUUACUCUGAACCACAUAAAUUCUUUAGGUACUUUACUCUAUGUUUCAUUUACUGUUAUAUUUCACUGUCAUAA
Molecule: long non-coding RNA, 1558 nt
Filed under: Salvia miltiorrhiza (redroot sage)
Lineage: Eukaryota; Viridiplantae; Streptophyta; Magnoliopsida; Lamiales; Lamiaceae
Description: long non-coding RNA (SMIL_LNC006297)
Source: RNAcentral